CCCAGACUCCUACGGGAGGCAGCAGUGGGGGAUAUUGCACAAUGGGGGGAACCCUGAUGCAGCGACGCCGCGUGGGUGAAGGAGCGUUUCGGCGCGUAAAGCCCUAUCGGCAGGGAAGAAGGAGGACGGUACCUGACUAAGAAGCCCCGGCUAACUACGUGCCAGCAGCCGCGGUAAUACGUAGGGGGCAAGCGUUAUCCGGAUUUACUGGGUGUAAAGGGGGCGCAGACGGCAGCGCAAGCCAGGAGUGAAAGCCCGGGGCCCAACCCCGGGACUGCUCUUGGAACUGCGCGGCUGGAGUGCAGGAGGGGCAGGCGGAAUUCCUGGUGUAGCGGUGAAAUGCGUAGAUAUCAGGAGGAACACCGGUGGCGAAGGCGGCCUGCUGGACUGCGACUGACGUUGAGGCCCGAAAGCGUGGGGAGCAAACAGGAUUAGAUACCCUUGUAA
RNAcentral lists this ribosomal RNA (447 nucleotides) under uncultured bacterium. RNAcentral's name for it is "bacterial SSU rRNA". It matches the Rfam family "Bacterial small subunit ribosomal RNA", at positions 330 to 793 of the family's 1533-position model. The record is from RNAcentral.